RNAcentral lists this unclassified non-coding RNA (308 nucleotides) under plant metagenome. RNAcentral describes it as "partial contains 5.8S ribosomal RNA, internal transcribed spacer 2, and large subunit ribosomal RNA". The stretch from base 1 to 106 matches the Rfam family "5.8S ribosomal RNA", at positions 50 to 154 of the family's 154-position model. The record is from RNAcentral.
GAAAUGCGAUAAGUAAUGCGAAUUGCAGAAUUUCCGUGAGUCAUCGAAUCUUUGAACGCACAUUGCGCCCAUUGGUAUUCCGAUGGGCAUGCCUGUUCGAGCGUCAUUUCAACCCUCAGAACCCCUUGCGGGAUCUGGCGUUGGGGAUUGGCAUCCAGCCAGCCCCGAAAUCUAGUGGCGGUCCCUCCGCGACCUCCCCUGUGCAGUAGCGAUACCUCGCAGCGGGACAGCGGUCUGACCACGCCGUAAAACCCCCAACUUCCCAAGGUUGACCUCGAAUCAGGUAGGAAUACCCGCUGAACUUAAGC